AAACUCUGAUGCAGCGACGCCGCGUGAGUGAUGAAGGACUUCGGUUUGUAAAGCUCUGUUCUCAGGGAAUAAAAAAAUGAAUGUACCUGAGGAGAAAGCACCGGCUAACUUCGUGCCAGCAGCCGCGGUAAUACGAAGGGUGCAAGCGUUGCUCGGAAUCAUUGGGCGUAAAGCGAGCGCGGGUGGUUUUGUAAGUCAGGAGUGAAAGCCCAGGGCUUAACCCUGGAAGUGCUUUUGAUACUGCAAAACUUGAGUGUGGGAGAGGAUGCUAGAAUUCCUGGUGUAGUGGUGAAAUACGUAGAUAUCAGGAGGAACAUCGGUGGCGAAGGCGGGCAUCUGGCCCAACACUGACACUUAGGCUCGAAAGCGUGGGGAUCAAACAGGAUUAGAUACCCUGGUAGUCCACGCCGUAAACGAUGGAUACUUGUUGUUGGAGGUAUUGACCCCUUCAGUGACGAAGCUAACGCGUUAAGUAUCCCGCCUGGGAAGUACGGUCGCAAGAUUA
This 505-nucleotide ribosomal RNA is filed under the name uncultured Pseudomonadota bacterium. RNAcentral describes it as "bacterial SSU rRNA". It matches the Rfam family "Bacterial small subunit ribosomal RNA", at positions 378 to 896 of the family's 1533-position model. Lineage: Bacteria; Pseudomonadati; Pseudomonadota. The record is from RNAcentral.